UCGCCGCCGCCAGGCCUAGCCCACCGUCGUCGCCGGAGAGGUAGCUUCCUCACCCCUUCCUUCCUGCCUCGUUCCCAUCCGCCCUCCUCACCCUUCCUUCCUGCCUUAGGCUCACAGGGAGUAGCCGUUGUUACUUGACCAGAAACUGCUCCUCUGUUCCCUUAUGAUUAUCAUGUAUAGGUGGUCAAAAUGAUUACAGUAGAUGUAUAACUUAUGAUUGUUGUACCUAUUAUGCUCAUAUUUUAGUUUGUUCAGUGCUUGUCAUGCUGGAAAACAAUCGGUUGUGCUAAGUAUCAAUUUGUUUGUAUUGUCAUAGAUGGAUGAAUUGGCAAGAAAACGAAGGCAAUUAAUUGUGAGAGGAGCCGGUCUAGUGGCUGGAAUGUAUGCAUACAAGAUGAUCAUGUUUAGAAGAGCUAGGCAACAAACAGCGAGGAUGGUCUAGUGGCUGGAAUGUAUGCAUACAAGAUGAUCAUGUUUAGAAGAGCUAGGCAACAAACAGCGAGGAUAGCCGUGGGCAGCAUGGCCGAUCGUGCCACAUCUAGAAAGUCCAAUUUGAGAUAUAUUUAUCACUCUAGUGACAUAAAUUGUUCAAAUCAAUUAAGAAUGAGGAAAGCUCCUUUUUCCGUUUGUGUGCUAUAUUUAGAGAGAGAAAUCUGUUGUUGGCAUGGUAACAAUUUAUUGCUCGAAUUGUUCCAUGAAUUGUCGAAAUGUUGUUUCAAUAUUUGUCUUGGCGGCAAAAAAAUCAUUCAUGCAGCAUACCUCAUAUACAGGCUACCAAACAC
Molecule: long non-coding RNA, 782 nt
Filed under: Triticum aestivum (bread wheat)
Lineage: Eukaryota; Viridiplantae; Streptophyta; Magnoliopsida; Poales; Poaceae
Description: long non-coding RNA (TAES_LNC022794)
Source: RNAcentral